Molecule: ribosomal RNA, 492 nt
Filed under: uncultured bacterium
Lineage: Bacteria
Description: partial 16S ribosomal RNA
Rfam family: Bacterial small subunit ribosomal RNA
Source: RNAcentral
AGUGAACGCUGGCGGUAGGCCUAACACAUGCAAGUCGAACGGCAGCACAGUAAGAGCUUGCUCUUACGGGUGGCGAGUGGCGGACGGGUGAGGAAUACAUCGGAAUCUACUUUUUUGUGGGGGAUAACGUAGGGAAACUUACGCUAAUACCGCAUACGACCUACGGGUGAAAGCAGGGGAUCCUCGGACCUUGCGCGAUUGAAUGGGCCGAUGUCGGAUUAGCUAGUUGGCGGGGUAAAGGCCCACCAAGGCGACGAUCCGUAGCUGGUCUGAGAGGAUGAUCAGCCACACUGGAACUGAGACACGGUCCAGACUCCUACGGGAGGCAGCAGUGGGGAAUAUUGGACAAUGGGCGCAAGCCUGAUCCAGCCAUACCGCGUGGGUGAAGAAGGCCUUCGGGUUGUAAAGCCCUUUUGUUGGGAAAGAAAAGCAGCAGGUUAAUACCCCGCUGUUCUGACGGUACCCAAAGAAUAAGCACCGGCUAACUUCGUG